RNAcentral lists this ribosomal RNA (459 nucleotides) under uncultured bacterium. RNAcentral describes it as "partial 16S ribosomal RNA". It matches the Rfam family "Bacterial small subunit ribosomal RNA", at positions 338 to 795 of the family's 1533-position model. The record is from RNAcentral.
CCUACGGGGGGCAGCAGUGAGGAAUAUUGGUCAAUGGUCGGGAGACUGAACCAGCCAAGCCGCGUGAGGGAUGAAGGUACAGAGUAUCGUAAACCUCUUUUGUCAGGGAACAAAGGCGGGGACGCGUCCCCGGAUGAGUGUACCUAAAGCAAAAGCAUCGGCUAACUCCGUGCCAGCAGCCGCGGUAAUACGGAGGAUGCGAGCGUUAUCCGGAUUUAUUGGGUUUAAAGGGUGCGCGGGCGGUGUGUUAAGUAAGCGGUAAAAGCCCGGGGCUCAACCCCGGCCCGCCGUUGAAACUGGCAGUCUCGAGUUGGAGAGAGGUAUGCGGAAUGCGCGGUGUAGCGGUGAAAUGCAUAGAUAUCGCGCAGAACUCCGAUUGCGAAGGCAGCAUGCCGGCUCCACACUGACGCUGAGGCACGAAAGCGUGGGUAUCGAACAGGAUUAGAUACCCGGGUAGUC